This 30-nucleotide non-coding RNA is filed under the name Homo sapiens (human). Lineage: Eukaryota; Metazoa; Chordata; Mammalia; Primates; Hominidae. The record is from RNAcentral.
UGAGGUCGAUGUCCCACCGGUCUUUGAUGA